RNAcentral lists this ribosomal RNA (1372 nucleotides) under uncultured bacterium. Its description in RNAcentral is "bacterial SSU rRNA". It matches the Rfam family "Bacterial small subunit ribosomal RNA", at positions 28 to 1381 of the family's 1533-position model. The record is from RNAcentral.
GAUGAACGCUGGCGGCGUGCCUAAUACAUGCAAGUCGAGCGAACGGACGAGAAGCUUGCUUCUCUGAUGUUAGCGGCGGACGGGUGAGUAACGCGUGGAUAACCUACCUAUAAGACUGGGAUAACUUCGGGAAACCGGAGCUAAUACCGGAUAAUAUUUUGAACCGCAUGGUUCAAAAGUAAAAGACGGUCUUGCUGUCACUUAUAGAUGGAUCCGCGCUGCAUUAGCUAGUUGGUAAGGUAACGGCUUACCAAGGCAACGAUGCAUAGCCGACCUGAGAGGGUGAUCGGCCACACUGGAACUGAGACACGGUCCAGACUCCUACGGGAGGCAGCAGUAGGGAAUCUUCCGCAAUGGGCGAAAGCCUGACGGAGCAACGCCGCGUGAGUGAUGAAGGUCUUCGGAUCGUAAAACUCUGUUAUUAGGGAAGAACAUAUGUGUAAGUAACUGCGCACAUCUUGACGGUACCUAAUCAGAAAGCCACGGCUAACUACGUGCCAGCAGCCGCGGUAAUACGUAGGUGGCAAGCGUUAUCCGGAAUUAUUGGGCGUAAAGCGCGCGUAGGCGGUUUUUUAAGUCUGAUGUGAAAGCCCACGGCUCAACCGUGGAGGGUCAUUGGAAACUGGAAAACUUGAGUGCAGAAGAGGAAAGUGGAAUUCCAUGUGUAGCGGUGAAAUGCGCAGAGAUAUGGAGGAACACCAGUGGCGAAGGCGACUUUCUGGUCUGUAACUGACGCUGAUGUGCGAAAGCGUGGGGAUCAAACAGGAUUAGAUACCCUGGUAGUCCACGCCGUAAACGAUGAGUGCUAAGUGUUAGGGGGUUUCCGCCCCUUAGUGCUGCAGCUAACGCAUUAAGCACUCCGCCUGGGGAGUACGACCGCAAGGUUGAAACUCAAAGGAAUUGACGGGGACCCGCACAAGCGGUGGAGCAUGUGGUUUAAUUCGAAGCAACGCGAAGAACCUUACCAAAUCUUGACAUCCUUUGACAACUCUAGAGAUAGAGCCUUCCCCUUCGGGGGACAAAGUGACAGGUGGUGCAUGGUUGUCGUCAGCUCGUGUCGUGAGAUGUUGGGUUAAGUCCCGCAACGAGCGCAACCCUUAAGCUUAGUUGCCAUCAUUAAGUUGGGCACUCUAAGUUGACUGCCGGUGACAAACCGGAGGAAGGUGGGGAUGACGUCAAAUCAUCAUGCCCCUUAUGAUUUGGGCUACACACGUGCUACAAUGGACAAUACAAAGGGCAGCGAAACCGCGAGGUCAAGCAAAUCCCAUAAAGUUGUUCUCAGUUCGGAUUGUAGUCUGCAACUCGACUACAUGAAGCUGGAAUCGCUAGUAAUCGUAGAUCAGCAUGCUACGGUGAAUACGUUCCCGGGUCU